UGGAUUUGCUCCCACGGGGUCGGACGAUAAGGAGAGGAACCGAAGAACACCAAGUACGAGAGCUACUGCAUGUGCCCCAACACUCCAUCUCAGGGCGACAAGGGUUUGCAAUGAGAAGAAAAGACACAAGGGAAGAGAUGGCGCGUGCUCUUUAACAAAUCCAUGAAUGCAAGUAGUUUGGAUGCCAAGGCUAAUGAUGAGAUUGGGGCUAAUGGUUUGUUAGCUUCUUCUUCUAAUCAAGUAGUUGGAAGGUGGUGUGAAGGAGAAAAAGCGUUUCCA
Telopea speciosissima is the source of this 279-nucleotide long non-coding RNA. RefSeq lists it as uncharacterized. The record is from RefSeq and is a predicted model, not a curated record. The transcript has 4 exons. Lineage: Eukaryota; Viridiplantae; Streptophyta; Magnoliopsida; Proteales; Proteaceae.